GACGAACGCUGGCGGCGUGCUUAACACAUGCAAGUCGAACGGUAAGGCCCUUCGGGGUACACGAGUGGCGAACGGGUGAGUAACACGUGGGUGAUCUGCCCUGCACUUCGGGAUAAGCCUGGGAAACUGGGUCUAAUACCGGAUAGGACCACUGCCUGCAUGGGUGGUGGUGGAAAGCUUUUGCGGUGUGGGAUGGGCCCGCGGCCUAUCAGCUUGUUGGUGGGGUGAUGGCCUACCAAGGCGACGACGGGUAGCCGGCCUGAGAGGGUGACCGGCCACACUGGGACUGAGAUACGGCCCAGACUCCUACGGGAGGCAGCAGUGGGGAAUAUUGCGCAAUGGGCGCAAGCCUGAUGCAGCGACGCCGCGUGAGGGAUGACGGCCUUCGGGUUGUAAACCUCUUUCAGCACCGACGAAGCGCAAGUGACGGUAGGUGCAGAAGAAGGACCGGCCAACUACGUGCCAGCCGCCGCUGUUA
This 478-nucleotide ribosomal RNA is filed under the name uncultured bacterium. Its description in RNAcentral is "partial 16S ribosomal RNA". It matches the Rfam family "Bacterial small subunit ribosomal RNA", at positions 28 to 523 of the family's 1533-position model. The record is from RNAcentral.